This 443-nucleotide ribosomal RNA is filed under the name uncultured bacterium. RNAcentral's name for it is "partial 16S ribosomal RNA". It matches the Rfam family "Bacterial small subunit ribosomal RNA", at positions 338 to 795 of the family's 1533-position model. The record is from RNAcentral.
CCUACGGGUGGCAGCAGUGGGGGAUAUUGCACAAUGGGGGGAACCCUGAUGCAGCGACGCCGCGUGAAGGAAGAAGGCUUUCGGGUUGUAAACUUCUUUUGUCAGGGACGAAGCAAGUGACGGUACCUGACGAUUAAGCCACGGCUAACUACGUGCCAGCAGCCGCGGUAAGCCGGGGGUGGCAAGCGUUAUUCGGGUUCACUCGGUGUAAGGUGUGUGUAGGCGGGGAAGCAAGGCAGAUGUGAAAACCACGGGCUCAACCUGUGGCCUGCAUGUGAAACUGUUUUUCUUGAGUGCUGGAGAGGCAAGCGGAAUGCCGUGUGUAGCGGUGAAAUGCGUAGAUAUACGGAGGAACACCGGUGGCGAAGGCAGAUUGCUGGACCGUAACUGACGCUGAGGCGCGAAAGCGUGGGUAGCAAACAGGAUUAGAUACCCUAGUAGUC